This 253-nucleotide ribosomal RNA is filed under the name uncultured bacterium. RNAcentral's name for it is "partial 16S ribosomal RNA". It matches the Rfam family "Bacterial small subunit ribosomal RNA", at positions 524 to 776 of the family's 1533-position model. The record is from RNAcentral.
UACGUAGGGUGCGAGCGUUAAUCGGAAUUACUGGGCGUAAAGCGUGCGCAGGCGGCUUUGCAAGUCAGAUGUGAAAUCCCCGGGCUUAACCUGGGAACUGCAUUUGUGACUGCAUGGCUGGAGUGCGGCAGAGGGGGAUGGAAUUCCGCGUGUAGCAGUGAAAUGCGUAGAUAUGCGGAGGAACACCGAUGGCGAAGGCAAUCCCCUGGGCCUGCACUGACGCUCAUGCGCGAAAGCGUGGGGAGCAAACAGG